AUUGAACGCUGGCGGCAAGCUUAACACAUGCAAGUCGAGCGGAGAUGAGGUGCUUGCACCUUAUCUUAGCGGCGGACGGGUGAGUAAUGCUUAGGAAUCUGCCUAUUAGUGGGGGACAACAUUCCGAAAGGAAUGCUAAUACCGCAUACGUCCUACGGGAGAAAGCAGGGGAUCUUCGGACCUUGCGCUAAUAGAUGAGCCUAAGUCGGAUUAGCUAGUUGGUGGGGUAAAGGCCUACCAAGGCGACGAUCUGUAGCGGGUCUGAGAGGAUGAUCCGCCACACUGGGACUGAGACACGGCCCAGACUCCUACGGGAGGCAGCAGUGGGGAAUAUUGGACAAUGGGGGGGACCCUGAUCCAGCCAUGCCGCGUGUGUGAAGAAGGCCUUAUGGUUGUAAAGCACUUUAAGCGAGGAGGAGGCUACUGAGACUAAUACUCUUGGAUAGUGGACGUUACUCGCAGAAUAAGCACCGGCCAACUCUGUGCCAGCCGCCGCGGUAA
This 501-nucleotide ribosomal RNA is filed under the name uncultured bacterium. Its description in RNAcentral is "partial 16S ribosomal RNA". It matches the Rfam family "Bacterial small subunit ribosomal RNA", at positions 30 to 523 of the family's 1533-position model. The record is from RNAcentral.